Molecule: ribosomal RNA, 1425 nt
Filed under: Helicobacter sp. Dog-4
Lineage: Bacteria; Pseudomonadati; Campylobacterota; Epsilonproteobacteria; Campylobacterales; Helicobacteraceae
Description: bacterial SSU rRNA
Rfam family: Bacterial small subunit ribosomal RNA
Source: RNAcentral
UCAGAGUGAACGCUGGCGGCGUGCCUAAUACAUGCAAGUCGAACGAUGAAGCUUCUAGCUUGCUAGAAGUGGAUUAGUGGCGCACGGGUGAGUAACGCAUAGGUAACAUGCCCUUUAGUCUGGGAUAGCCACUGGAAACGGUGAUUAAUACUGGAUACUCCCUACGGGGGAAAGUUUUUCGCUAAAGGAUUGGCCUAUGUCCUAUCAGCUUGUUGGUGAGGUAAUGGCUCACCAAGGCUAUGACGGGUAUCCGGCCUGAGAGGGUGAUCGGACACACUGGAACUGAGACACGGUCCAGACUCCUACGGGAGGCAGCAGUAGGGAAUAUUGCUCAAUGGGGGAAACCCUGAAGCAGCAACGCCGCGUGGAGGAUGAAGGUUUUAGGAUUGUAAACUCCUUUUGUUAGAGAAGAUUAUGACGGUAUCUAACGAAUAAGCACCGGCUAACUCCGUGCCAGCAGCCGCGGUAAUACGGAGGGUGCAAGCGUUACUCGGAAUCACUGGGCGUAAAGAGUGCGUAGGCGGGAAAGCAAGUCAGAUGUGAAAUCCUGUAGCUUAACUACAGAACUGCAUUUGAAACUGCUUUUCUAGAGUGUGGGAGAGGUAGGUGGAAUUCUUGGUGUAGGGGUAAAAUCCGUAGAGAUCAAGAGGAAUACUCAUUGCGAAGGCGACCUGCUGGAACAUUACUGACGCUGAUGCACGAAAGCGUGGGGAGCAAACAGGAUUAGAUACCCUGGUAGUCCACGCCCUAAACGAUGAAUGCUAGUUGUUGCCCUGCUUGUCAGGGCAGUAAUGCAGCUAACGCAUUAAGCAUUCCGCCUGGGGAGUACGGUCGCAAGAUUAAAACUCAAAGGAAUAGACGGGGACCCGCACAAGCGGUGGAGCAUGUGGUUUAAUUCGAAGAUACGCGAAGAACCUUACCUAGGCUUGACAUUGAUAGAAUCCGCUAGAGAUAGUGGAGUGCUGGCUUGCCAGAGCUUGAAAACAGGUGCUGCACGGCUGUCGUCAGCUCGUGUCGUGAGAUGUUGGGUUAAGUCCCGCAACGAGCGCAACCCUCGUCCUUAGUUGCUAGCAGUUUAAGCUGAGCACUCUAGGGAGACUGCCUUCGUAAGGAGGAGGAAGGUGAGGACGACGUCAAGUCAUCAUGGCCCUUACGCCUAGGGCUACACACGUGCUACAAUGGGGCGCACAAAGAGGAGCAAUACCGCGAGGUGGAGCAAAUCUCAAAAACGUCUCUCAGUUCGGAUUGUAGUCUGCAACUCGACUACAUGAAGCUGGAAUCGCUAGUAAUCGUGAAUCAGCCAUGUCACGGUGAAUACGUUCCCGGGUCUUGUACUCACCGCCCGUCACACCAUGGGAGUUGUAUUCGCCUUAAGUCGGGAUACUAAAUUGGUUACCGCCCACGGCGGAUGCAGCGACUGGGGUG